Molecule: ribosomal RNA, 216 nt
Filed under: uncultured bacterium
Lineage: Bacteria
Description: partial 16S ribosomal RNA
Rfam family: Bacterial small subunit ribosomal RNA
Source: RNAcentral
UGGGAACGUGCCCUUCGGUUCGGAAUAACUCAGGGAAACUUGAGCUAAUACCGGAUACGUCCGUAAGGAGAAAGAUUUAUCGCCGAAGGAUCGGCCCGCGUCGGAUUAGCUAGUUGGUGAGGUAACGGCCCACCAAGGCGACGAUCCGUAGCUGGUCUGAGAGGAUGAUCAGCCACACUGGGACUGAGACACGGCCCAGACUCCUACGGGAGGCAG